AUACGGAGGGCGCAAGCGUUGUUCGGAAUCAUUGGGCGUAAAGCGCGUGUAGGCGGCUUGGCAAGUCGGGUGUGAAAGCCCGGGGCUCAACCCCGGAACGGCACUCGAAACUGCCAAGCUAGAGUCCCGGAGAGGAAGGCGGAAUUCCCGGUGUAGAGGUGAAAUUCGUAGAUAUCGGGAGGAACACCAGCGGCGAAGGCGGCCUUCUGGACGGUGACUGACGCUGAGACGCGAAAGCGUGGGGAGCAAACAGGAUUAGAAACCCGUGUAGUCC
This 274-nucleotide ribosomal RNA is filed under the name uncultured bacterium. Its description in RNAcentral is "partial 16S ribosomal RNA". It matches the Rfam family "Bacterial small subunit ribosomal RNA", at positions 523 to 796 of the family's 1533-position model. The record is from RNAcentral.